Sander lucioperca (pikeperch) is the source of this 692-nucleotide long non-coding RNA. RefSeq lists it as uncharacterized. Lineage: Eukaryota; Metazoa; Chordata; Actinopteri; Perciformes; Percidae. The transcript is spliced from 2 exons. The record is from RefSeq and is a predicted model, not a curated record.
AUCCCUCCAACAUGUGUCCCCACGCCCCGCACCGCCAACACACUGCCGCAUGCAUAUAUGAACCAUGAGGCCCCCCAAAAAAGCUGCAAACAAGGCUGAGGCGACACGCAUAGCGCUGCUGCAAGUACGCUGUUAGGAGUGGGAAAGUUUGGAUUUUUAAAAACCUUCAGCACAACAGCUGAUCCCCAGCCGGCUGUGCUGUAAGCCAGAGCUCCCAGUGGCUGGUGGCCAGUGCUGACUGGGAAAGCUUCCAGCCUGAGAGGGACUGUGAUUAACCCAGGAGCGGUCAAACUCGGCAGGAAGCCCUCCGCAACCAGCCACCGCUUUUUAUCCACUUUCCAAUGAAACCAAUUACUUUUACAGCGAGCCUCGGUGCCGACACUAUAUGUGUUGUUCUUGCAGACCAAUAGAGUAUGGCUGUGAAAGGAGAGGCAGACGUGAAGUAGGAAACCCUCCUGAGCCGCUUCAACAGGCUGUAAAAUAUACCUAAAGUCAGUUUCCAUGGAGACUCACUGAUGUAGGAGAGCAGGCUAAAGGACACACAAAGCCUUUUAUAUAAAACUCAAGUAUAUUUUUUUAUUAUUAUCACUAUUUUUUAUUACUCAUCUUCUGAUAUCAAUGCAGUUUUGGAGUUGUAAACGUUGCCUAGUUGUAGCCAAGGAUGAAUAAACAUGCAUUUAAUUUACACAAUU